GAUGAACGCUGGCGGCGUGCCUAACACAUGCAAGUCGAACGAUGAAGCCCAGCUUGCUGGGUGGAUUAGUGGCGAACGGGUGAGUAACACGUGAGUAACCUGCCCUUAACUCUGGGAUAAGCCUGGGAAACUGGGUCUAAUACCGGAUAGGAGCGUCCACCGCAUGGUGGGUGUUGGAAAGAUUUAUCGGUUUUGGAUGGACUCGCGGCCUAUCAGCUUGUUGGUGAGGUAAUGGCUCACCAAGGCGACGACGGGUAGCCGGCCUGAGAGGGUGACCGGCCACACUGGGACUGAGACACGGCCCAGACUCCUACGGGAGGCAGCAGUGGGGAAUAUUGCACAAUGGGCGCAAGCCUGAUGCAGCGACGCCGCGUGAGGGAUGACGGCCUUCGGGUUGUAAACCUCUUUCAGUAGGGAAGAAGCGAAAGUGACGGUACCUGCAGAAGAAGCACCGGCUAACUACGUG
This 466-nucleotide ribosomal RNA is filed under the name uncultured bacterium. RNAcentral describes it as "partial 16S ribosomal RNA". It matches the Rfam family "Bacterial small subunit ribosomal RNA", at positions 28 to 507 of the family's 1533-position model. The record is from RNAcentral.